This 657-nucleotide long non-coding RNA is filed under the name Rattus norvegicus (Norway rat). Its description in RNAcentral is "long non-coding RNA NONRATT009620". Lineage: Eukaryota; Metazoa; Chordata; Mammalia; Rodentia; Muridae. The record is from RNAcentral.
CAGGAAUGGUGUUUGCUAAGUCAUAAGUACAGCUGUAGGCUGAGAAACCCUUCAGUAUACCCACUCUUUCUCAUUAAAACCACUAAGUUCCAGUCUACUGGAGAAAGAAGACCCAGCAUUUCUUCACUUCUGUAAUAGCGAGGAUUGUAUCAUUUCUAUCAAGGUUUGUUCAAAGAUCUUCCUAUUCACCCCAGGAUUUCACCAUUGAUACUAAAGAGCUCCCUUAGCCUCAGGAAGGACUGAGAAGGCCUCAGAUAAGAAUGUUUCCUGUAGCAUGUAAAGGAGGAGGAAACUAGAAUCUAGUCUGCCUGAGUCCAAAAGCUUUGUGUCUACACAAGAGAGUGGCCCCAAGAGAAAUGGACUCUGCUCUCCCAAGAACUGCAAUCUGGGUCAUGUAUGACAUUUCUAAACUAGAUGAGGUCAUCAAAGCCAUCUGGUCUACCCUAAGUCUACACAUGGAAAAGGUUUCCUGGUGGUGAGGAGUAAGAAACUGCAAGUGGAUCCACUGAUGGACGAAUUAGAAACAUAUCCACCUGGAAGGCCCUAAUUAUAUUUUUGUCCGAAGCAGUCUAGUUGGAGAAGCUGCAAGGUCUGUGUUUAUUUAACCAAUGCUUACUUACUUCUGGCAAUGGCAAUUAAAUCUUUAUAACGGUUGAA